GGAGAGUUCGCAUAAUGGUAUUGCAGCGGUCUUGAAAACCGCCGUGAGAAAUCACAUGAGAGUUCGAGUCCCUCACUCUCCGCCA
Molecule: transfer RNA, 85 nt
Filed under: Kapaibacterium sp. (SeqCode)
Lineage: Bacteria; Pseudomonadati; Bacteroidota; Eximiradiia; Eximiradiales; Kapaibacteriaceae (SeqCode)
Description: tRNA-Ser
Rfam family: tRNA
About the family: Transfer RNA (tRNA) molecules are approximately 80 nucleotides in length. Their secondary structure includes four short double-helical elements and three loops (D, anti-codon, and T loops).
Source: RNAcentral